This 334-nucleotide unclassified non-coding RNA is filed under the name soil metagenome. RNAcentral's name for it is "partial contains 5.8S ribosomal RNA, internal transcribed spacer 2, and large subunit ribosomal RNA". The stretch from base 1 to 120 matches the Rfam family "5.8S ribosomal RNA", at positions 35 to 154 of the family's 154-position model. The record is from RNAcentral.
GAUGAAGAACGCAGCGAAAUGCGAUAAGUAUUGUGAAUUGCAGAAUUCAGUGAAUCAUCGAAUCUUUGAACGCACAUUGCGCCCGCCAGUAUUCUGGCGAGCAUGCCUGUUCGAGCGUCAUUUCAACCAUCAAGCCCCAGGCUUGUGUUGGAGCCCUGCGGCUGCCGCAGCCUCCCAAAACCAGUGGCGGGCUCGCUAUCACACCGAGUGCAGUAGUUUACUCUUCGCUCAGGGCGUGUGGCGGGUGCUAGCCGUGAAACCCCCAACUUCUCAAGGUUGACCUCGGAUCAGGUAGGAAUACCCGCUGAACUUAAGCAUAUCAAUAAGCGGAGGA